Non-coding RNA from Xyrichtys novacula (pearly razorfish), 3579 nucleotides. The record is from the annotation of a GenBank genome assembly. NCBI's taxonomy places the organism in Eukaryota, Metazoa, Chordata, Actinopteri, Labriformes, Labridae.
CUACUGAGGUGAAGGUCCAACAGAUUAGUCACAUGACCGGGUCGAAGACGGACCUUCAGAGAGGGUGACCCCGAAUCUUCACCGCAUCCUGAACGACAGUUUUUUUCCUCUCAGCUCCAUUUUGUGGUCGAUUACAGACGCAGGAACCAGGAGAACUCACGAGAACUCACGAGAACCCGCAGACUGACGUUCAAUCACAUGAUAACGAGUCGUCUCUCUAAAGACGGUUCCACGAAUCUGUCCUGGUUUGGGGGAUGAGGACUAGUGGUGCAGUUCUCCUGGAGUCCUGUUCUGGGUCUUGUUGUGGAAACUGUCCCUGCAGCGCCUCGUGCCGGCACCUCUCCGAUCUGGGUCAUUUUCUAAAUAUACCGCUGCUCCGGUCCUCCCUGCAGAGACGGCCCUGCUGCCUGAGGGGGGACCGUUUGAGCCUCCUGGUUCUGGUCCAGCAUCCUCCCAUGAACCGCACGUGUCUGUCAUGUGACGGCGCUCUAUAGAUAGAUCUGCAGAGAACCCGAAAUAAUCUGGACAAGAUACAGAAACAAAGUCCAAGAGAGACGAGCAGACGGGGAAGAUGGAGGAGAAGAGGACGGAGAAACCGGAUCAACGAAGUUCUCCAGGAGACCGACAGAGUUCAGAGAGUCCAGGGGGACGGGUUCUACGACAUCUGGGGGUUUCAGACAAUCAUCAAAACAGACUGACAGACUUUACACGACGAGUCUACGUGAUAUUAUCGUCAUCAACUACCUGCUGUGUGUGUCUCUGUAGUUCACACUCAGUCCGUUUCCAUGACAACUGAGAAAACCGAAUUAUCGCCUUAUUCCGAUAAAGACCGGACAACUGAAGGUCAUGUAAACACCUUAGUCCGACUAUAAUCAGAGUUUGAGAACUCUGAUUAAGACACACAGAUAAUGAGAUUGGAAUUAGAUUUUCUCUACCAUGUAACCAGCGUAGUCGGAGUAUGAUCGGAUACAGGCCACGCCCCCGUAACCCUGUAACAAAAACCCAGAGUAGAGGAGUAGCGUUUGUCCCAUCAGCAGAAAAGUAGCGCGUCCAUGUUUACGCCAAGAAGUCCGAUCCAGCAAAAAUAAAAGAAUUAUGAGUUUAAUCCGAUUAAACUGUGGCUGUAAACGUCCUGACUGACUGGUUAUUUAGACGGCGAGCGUCCGACAUCGACACGUUGAAUAACACGGGUCUCUAAUGAUGUAAACAUGAAUGAAAUCGUCGUUCCCGCCUUCAGAUUCUUGUCUUCAGCGAAAACAUGAAGAGCUGGUCGGAGUUCGUCUGAAUGAAUUCGAUCGUUAGACGACGAUCUUCAUCGUGGUCGACAUCGAAGACAGGAUGUAAACCUGCGAGCCGCUGAAACGCCGACUCUGAAGAGGAAGUCUGUAAAACUCUUAGAUCAGCUGUUGAAGGUGAGGUCCAACUUUAUCGACGAUAUCAGAACAUUUACUGUUCAGCAGAAGAACGGACUCUUCUGCUCCUCAGGACCUUCACCAUGAAGGUCCAAACCUUCAAAAUAACGCUGAGCCAGAACCAGACCGUUUAGACCAGACUGGGACCGGCUCUUCUGAUCAGACCAAGGUCCAGCUGUCUGGUCCAGACCAGGAUCCAGAGGAGGUUUCACAGCAAUCAUUGUGGAUCUGACCGAACAGAACAGUCCGGACCAAAGGACGUCAGACCGACCCGGACCAGAGAGACCGCCAUUAAUCAGCCGUCAGAGGAACCAGAGACGAGGUGGAGGCUCUGGAGGUCAUGGCAACACACACACACACGCACGCACGCACGCACGCACGCACGCACACACACACACACACACACACACACACACACACACACACACACUGACAGGUCUCAGAGUGUGUUCAUGAGUUUAUCACGUUCAGCCCGCAGACAAUAAAUGAAGUGAUCAAUCACAGAGGAGAACAUCUGUGGAGCAACCACUCCAUCAGACAGCAGCUUCAUCAGCACCUCCACACCAAGAGGAGGAGGAGGAGGAGAGAGAGGAGGUGAAGAAGAGAAACCAACUGUACACCUGAGAGGAGGAGGAGGAGGAGGUGAAGAAGAGAAACCAACUGUACACCUGAGAGGAGGAGGAGGAGGAGGAGGAGGAGGAGGUGCUAACUCGGAGUCUGUCCUCCAUGGUGUUUUACAGUCAUUAGUAACAGGCUGGAGAGGAGGAGGAAACAUCUGUGCGACACCAUCUUCAUCCCUCAGCAGGAGGAGGAGGAGGAGGAGGAGGAGGAGGUGAUGAAGACGGUUUGUAAAAGAAGGUUCUGGAAGAUUUGGUCCGUCUGAGUCCUGACAGGACCUCUCUGGUCCAAGUCCAGACUUCUUCAUCUGGGUUGGACUCUGGGGGUGGGGGGUUAGUUAAUCCAGAUUAUGGUCAUGGAUGAUACGUCUCUGUUUUCUCGCUCUGAUUACAGGAACAGCACCCCCCCCCCCAUCACGUGUUAUUCGGUUACGGCGCCGUUAACUCACUUAGAGUCGGCGGUCUAUGAGGAGGACGUCCCUCAGGCGGGUUUAACUGAGUUAGGGAGCGUCUGAGAAGAGUGGAGCACUAACUCAGGGAGCGUCUGCAUUUUUACACACAUGAUAAACAGAUUAGGGCUCGUCUCUGAGGGGUCGACUGUGUUUAAUGAGUCAGAGAGACUCCGCCCCCUUCACCACGCCGAGGAGGAGGAGAAACUGAAACUGAGUCUCAGUGUGAGGAGGACCUGACCUCAGACCUCCACAUGCACUUUUCUUCUUCCACACCUGAGCGCUCCUCUCAGCUCACCUUUUAGUACCGAGGCCUGCAGAUGUUUGGUUCUGACCCGAGGGCGGCAGGGAAACCGGCGGCGAGCGAGGAGUCAAACGGAGUGAAGAGGAUCAUGACUGCGAGGUGAGAGCGCCGACAGGAGCUGAGAGUCAAACACUCCGACUGCAGAGAGAAAACUGUUCCUCAUGGAGACUAGAAACAUCUCCAUGAACGUCUAACCCCCAAAAAUUUCACCACAUCCAGAGCGGCGGCGAUUUUCACCGACCGCCAAUUCCUGCAGGAUCCGGCCUGCAUGUGAGUCUGUGUGAAAGGGAUGAUGAACAAGUCGUGCUGAGAGGCUGAAACUCACUUCUAUAAAUACUACACACACACACACACACACACACACACACACACACACACACACACACACACACAGGAGCUGUAUAAUGGGCUUGGUUAGGCAGCAUAUUGAAAAUGCCACGGCAAUGUCUCAGAAGCUAAAUCAGCCGGUGUGUGUGUGUGUGUGUGUGUGUGUGUGUGUGUGUGUGUGUGUGUGUGUGUGUGUGUGUGUGUGUUUGUGUGUGUGUGUGUGUGUGUGUGUAUGUGUGUGUGUGUGUGUGUGUGUGUUAGUGUGUGUGUUUGUGUGUGUGUGUGUGUGUGUGUGUGUGUGUGUGUGUGUGUGUGUGUGUGAAAUAUGAACAGGUAAGCAGUAUGCAGAUCAGCUGUGACUGUAAAACACCCUCACUGAGGUGGGGGGGGGGGGCAGAUCCCAUUUCAGUCUCCAUGGUAACCACUCCUCAUCCUCCAUCCUCAUGCUGGAGUAAUGUGUGCGGCUCCCC